RNAcentral lists this ribosomal RNA (876 nucleotides) under uncultured Nitrososphaerota archaeon. RNAcentral describes it as "bacterial SSU rRNA". It matches the Rfam family "Archaeal small subunit ribosomal RNA", at positions 1 to 884 of the family's 1478-position model. Lineage: Archaea; Thermoproteati; Nitrososphaerota. The record is from RNAcentral.
UUCCGGUUGAUCCUGCCGGACCUGACUGCUAUCGGAUUGAUACUAAGCCAUGCGAGUCAUUGUAGCAAUACAAGGCAUACGGCUCAGUAACGCGUAGUCAACCUACCCUAUGGACGGAAAUAACCUCGGGAAACUGAGAAUAAUAUCCGAUAGAACAUUAUGCCUGGAAUGGUUUAUGUUCCAAAUGAUUUAUCGCCGUAGGAUGGGACUGCGGCCUAUCAGUUUGUUGGUGAGGUAAUGGCCCACCAAGACUAUUACAGGUACGGGCUCUGAGAGGAGUAGCCUGGUGAUGGGUACUGAGACACGGACCCAGGCCCUAUGGGGCGCAGCAGGCGAGAAAACUUUGCAAUGUGCGAAAGCACGACAAGGUUAAUCCGAGUGAUUUCUGCUAAAGAAAUCUUUUGUUAGUCCUAGAAACACUAACGAAUAAGGGGUGGGCAAGUUCUGGUGUCAGCCGCCGCGGUAAAACCAGCACCUCAAGUGGUCAGGAUGAUUAUUGGGCCUAAAGCAUCCGUAGCCGGCUCUGUAAGUCCUCGGUUAAAUCUGUACGCUUAACGUACAGGCUGCCGGGAAUACUGCAUAGCUAGGGAGUGGGAGAGGUAGACGGUACUCGGUAGGAAGGGGUAAAAUCCUUUGAUCUAUUGAUGACCACCUGUGGCGAAGGCGGUCUACCAGAACACGUCCGACGGUGAGGGAUGAAAGCUGGGGGAGCAAACCGGAUUAGAUACCCGGGUAGUCCCAGCUGUAAACUAUGCAAACUCAGUGAUGCAUUGGCUUGUGGCCAAUGCAGUGCUGCAGGGAAGCCGUUAAGUUUGCCGCCUGGGAAGUACGUACGCAAGUAUGAAACUUAAAGGAAUUGGCGGGGGAGCACCACAA